UUCAGCCCCUCCGAUAUAGAACCAACCGUAUUGUCACUGCUACUGGGGUCCGGCAGUGGCAGUGUCUCCGUCAUAGCCGCCGCCGCUGCGGAGCUAUGGACGGAAAACAGACUCGUGAGAUGAUGACAUCAUCAUCUCGCGAGUCUCUCUCUCUGCACUGUAGCGGCUGUAGAGGGAGGCUGGGAGGAGCGGCCGGGGACUCUGCAGGAGCUGACACUGGGUGGAUGCGUGUAGCUGUGUCCUCCUGUGGCGCAGCUCACAACUUGAAGCAGGGGCAGGGCUGGCCUGUAUUUUCGUGUGGAGCUGAGUCUGCAGUGCUAAGGCUUAAAAUCCCAUUGCAUGCUAAAGAUGACGGGAAAAGCAGAAUAGGCCACUAAGGAUUGCUGGCCUAGAUUUUAGCUGUGGGAUUUCAUACAAUGUUACAGAGGUAGGUUGCUUGCCAUCAACGGGACGCUGUGCUUUUAAGUGUAAGUCAUUGUUUUCAUAUCCACUGCUGGCAGCAGAAUCAAAGCAACUACUACACACAUAUUGUUUUGUGAAUGCCAAAGAAAUGCAAUAACACUGGAAGGAUAUAGGCAAAUCCCAGUGGCCUCCUCUGCUGCCAAUUGUUACACAUGAUAGAAGUUUUACAAUGACAGAAGAUCUCCGACAACUGCUGAAUUGUCUCGGUGCCAAGGGAGGGAACGAGCAAGUUGGAAGAUGAAUGCAGGAGGUGGACACAAUUCACCUGGAACACACAUUUCCUACCCUACCUCUGCUGCAGAUAACCAAGAGAGAGGAAGAAUGAUAGCGUUUGGCCACUUGCAAGGGAACUCUAGAACAUUUCAUGAUAUUUAGUGUAGUAAACAUUUGCAUGUAUUGGUGCAGUUUGGAAGCACACACACAAUAAAUUAUGAAAGGACGAUUUCAAUCAU
This is a long non-coding RNA of Pseudophryne corroboree (corroboree frog), 914 nucleotides long. RefSeq lists it as uncharacterized. The record is from RefSeq and is a predicted model, not a curated record. Lineage: Eukaryota; Metazoa; Chordata; Amphibia; Anura; Myobatrachidae. The transcript is spliced from 2 exons.